CCCCUAGAUGUUCUGGGCCGCACGCGCGCUACACUGAACAGUUCAACAAGUCUUAACCUUGGCCGAUAGGUCUGGGUAAUCUUUGAACGCUGUUCGUGAUUGGGAUUGACCUUUGCAAUUAUGGGUCUUCAACGAGGAAUUCCUAGUAAACGCAAGUCAUCAGCUUGCAUUGAUUACGUCCCUGCCCUUUGUACACACCGCCCGUCGCACCUACCGAUUGAAUGGUCCGGUGAAAUCUCGGGACGGCGGCUUGGUCGCUUGCGUCCGACUGCUGAAACUUGAUUAAACCAUAUCAUUUAGAGGAAGGUGAAGUCGUAACA
This 320-nucleotide ribosomal RNA is filed under the name uncultured eukaryote. RNAcentral describes it as "partial 18S ribosomal RNA". It matches the Rfam family "Eukaryotic small subunit ribosomal RNA", at positions 1470 to 1796 of the family's 1831-position model. The record is from RNAcentral.